Long non-coding RNA from Pogoniulus pusillus (Red-fronted tinkerbird), 1640 nucleotides. RefSeq lists it as uncharacterized. The transcript has 2 exons. NCBI's taxonomy places the organism in Eukaryota, Metazoa, Chordata, Aves, Piciformes, Lybiidae. The record is from RefSeq and is a predicted model, not a curated record.
UUCCAGCCCAGGUGUGGCCACUUUGACCUCCCCACCCACUCCCCUUUUUAAUUCCCCCCACCAAGGCAGAAACCCUAAGCUGUGCCCAUCUGGGCAGAGGGAUCCUCCUCCUCCUGUCAUCACUGUGCACUGCUGUGAAUAACUUACCUGUGUGUCCUUGAAACACUGGAGGCUGAAUGUAGAUCUCUCCAAAGCCAUGCAGGAUGAGCAAGCUCAUCUACCUCAGCCUCUCCUCAGAGGGCAGAUGCUUAAGUUCCCACCAUCUCAGUGGUUCUCUGUGGAUCUGAAUCCAGUUUACUGAUCUUUUGUCUUGUACUGAUGGGCACAAAAGUGGAUGGAUCUCUAUACUGGAUGUAGUCCAGUAUAGAGAGUUAUAGCUGCUUCCUGUCUCUGUUCAUACAGUCUGAGCUAUCCUUUGCCAUCUUUUCUCCCAGUUACUGCUGGCCCAAGUGCUGUUUGCUGCCCAUCAGAACCCUCAGGGUCUUUCCUGUAAGGCAGCUCCUCAGGAAGUUUGCCUCAGUCUAUCAGGGAAAUUCCUUUCAAGGGAUAGGGCUUUACACAUAUCCUUCUUGAAUUCUAUGAGUUUCCUGCUGGCCAGUUCAUGCCACCUGUUCAUAGAAUCAUGGAAUGGAAGGGACCUCCAAGUGUCAUCUAGUUCAUCCCCUGUGCAGUGAUCAAGAACAUUUUCCAUUAGGAUGGAAGUCCUUCCCUACAGCAAACUGAUUGGUGACCCCCAGUUUUGUAUCAGCUGCACGCUUGAAAGCAUAAAUAGUACUGUGAGGAAAAUAAGCACAGAUUUUGUCAGAAAAGCCAGGUAGUUUUUUUUACAUAUCACAUUUUUAAAAGUUGUGAAUAGAUCAGUACACAUUGCAUGGACCUGAAACAAUGUGCCUGUAUUAGGUUAAGAGAGGGGAACACAGAGGCAGUAGGUGAAAGGAGAAGCAGGUAUUUUAAGAUGGAGAAUAAUGCUCUUUUGUGAAGGAAAAAAAACCACACCCAAACCAAGAAAGUAGAUUUUCUCACUGAGAAAAGUUAAGUGGGGAGGGUGAAGAACAUUAAACUCUGACUAGCUAGACCAUUACCUCUUUCCCUGCUGUUUAUUUCUCCUUUUUUCAUUCUCAAUCUCUUUAGGAAGAAAGUGAAAUCUGUACAGCUGCUGUUUGUUAUUAUUUCAAUGUUAUAAAAUGAAAUUUUAUAGAAUAUCCCCCAGCAGUAGGAGAGUUUCAGGCUAGUGGCAGAUUACUCAUAAGUGAUAAGAAACAGUUUAGUAAUAAGCUUCUCUUCAGCUAAAUAUAACAUACACACUUUAUAUAGUGUGGAGUGUAGGGAAACAGUUUUAUACUCCAAGCUUUCCUGCCAACUUAGAGUUACAACGGUUAUGAACACAUACUUUCUUAAGCAGAAAUAAAUAUUUCUGGUGAUUAAAAUAGCAGGAACAUGUGAGAUCACAAUCAGGAUUCAAUGCAUGUGGAACGUCAACUGAAUUUGAAGAAAUAUCUGUUACUCUGUAAUAAGAAAUCAAGGUGUGGAAAGGGACAAAGAACAUCGAUGUUUAGUUCAUCUAAAGAUAUCUAUAUUCAAUGAUACAGUUCUAUACAUAAUCUAUAUAUGUUAACAAAAUAAACCAAAUGAACAUUGAA